RNAcentral lists this ribosomal RNA (2902 nucleotides) under Klebsiella pneumoniae. RNAcentral's name for it is "23S ribosomal RNA". It matches the Rfam family "Bacterial large subunit ribosomal RNA". The record is from RNAcentral. Lineage: Bacteria; Pseudomonadati; Pseudomonadota; Gammaproteobacteria; Enterobacterales; Enterobacteriaceae.
GGUUAAGCGACUAAGCGUACACGGUGGAUGCCCUGGCAGUCAGAGGCGAUGAAGGACGUGCUAAUCUGCGAAAAGCGUCGGUAAGGUGAUAUGAACCGUUAUAACCGGCGAUGUCCGAAUGGGGAAACCCAGUGCAAUUCGUUGCACUAUCGUUAACUGAAUACAUAGGUUAACGAGGCGAACCGGGGGAACUGAAACAUCUAAGUACCCCGAGGAAAAGAAAUCAACCGAGAUUCCCCCAGUAGCGGCGAGCGAACGGGGAGCAGCCCAGAGUCUGAAUCAGCUUGUGUGUUAGUGGAACGGUCUGGAAAGUCCGACGGUACAGGGUGAUAGUCCCGUACACCAAAAUGCACAGGUUGUGAACUCGAAGAGUAGGGCGGGACACGUGGUAUCCUGUCUGAAUAUGGGGGGACCAUCCUCCAAGGCUAAAUACUCCUGACUGACCGAUAGUGAACCAGUACCGUGAGGGAAAGGCGAAAAGAACCCCGGCGAGGGGAGUGAAAAAGAACCUGAAACCGUGUACGUACAAGCAGUGGGAGCACCUUCGGGUGUGACUGCGUACCUUUUGUAUAAUGGGUCAGCGACUUAUAUUCUGUAGCAAGGUUAACCGUAUAGGGGAGCCGCAGGGAAACCGAGUCUUAACUGGGCGUUAAGUUGCAGGGUAUAGACCCGAAACCCGGUGAUCUAGCCAUGGGCAGGUUGAAGGUUGGGUAACACUAACUGGAGGACCGAACCGACUAAUGUUGAAAAAUUAGCGGAUGACUUGUGGCUGGGGGUGAAAGGCCAAUCAAACCGGGAGAUAGCUGGUUCUCCCCGAAAGCUAUUUAGGUAGCGCCUCGUGAACUCAUCUUCGGGGGUAGAGCACUGUUUCGGCUAGGGGGGCAUCCCGACUUACCAACCCGAUGCAAACUACGAAUACCGAAGAAUGUUAUCACGGGAGACACACGGCGGGUGCUAACGUCCGUCGUGAAGAGGGAAACAACCCAGACCGCCAGCUAAGGUCCCAAAGUCAUGGUUAAGUGGGAAACGAUGUGGGAAGGCACAGACAGCCAGGAUGUUGGCUUAGAAGCAGCCAUCAUUUAAAGAAAGCGUAAUAGCUCACUGGUCGAGUCGGCCUGCGCGGAAGAUGUAACGGGGCUAAACCAUGCACCGAAGCUGCGGCAGCGACACUAUGUGUUGUUGGGUAGGGGAGCGUUCUGUAAGCCUGCGAAGGUGACCUGUGAGGGUUGCUGGAGGUAUCAGAAGUGCGAAUGCUGACAUAAGUAACGAUAAAGCGGGUGAAAAGCCCGCUCGCCGGAAGACCAAGGGUUCCUGUCCAACGUUAAUCGGGGCAGGGUGAGUCGACCCCUAAGGCGAGGCCGAAAGGCGUAGUCGAUGGGAAACAGGUUAAUAUUCCUGUACUUGGUGUUACUGCGAAGGGGGGACGGAGAAGGCUAUGUUAGCCGGGCGACGGUUGUCCCGGUUUAAGCAUGUAGGCUGAUUAUCCAGGCAAAUCCGGAUAAUCAAGGCUGAGGUGUGAUGACGAGGCACUACGGUGCUGAAGUAACAAAUGCCCUGCUUCCAGGAAAAGCCUCUAAGCAUCAGGUAACAUUAAAUCGUACCCCAAACCGACACAGGUGGUCAGGUAGAGAAUACCAAGGCGCUUGAGAGAACUCGGGUGAAGGAACUAGGCAAAAUGGUGCCGUAACUUCGGGAGAAGGCACGCUGGUGUGUAGGUGAAGUCCCUGCGGAUGGAGCUGAGACCAGUCGAAGAUACCAGCUGGCUGCAACUGUUUAUUAAAAACACAGCACUGUGCAAACACGAAAGUGGACGUAUACGGUGUGACGCCUGCCCGGUGCCGGAAGGUUAAUUGAUGGGGUUAUCCGUAAGGAGAAGCUCUUGAUCGAAGCCCCGGUAAACGGCGGCCGUAACUAUAACGGUCCUAAGGUAGCGAAAUUCCUUGUCGGGUAAGUUCCGACCUGCACGAAUGGCGUAAUGAUGGCCAGGCUGUCUCCACCCGAGACUCAGUGAAAUUGAACUCGCUGUGAAGAUGCAGUGUACCCGCGGCAAGACGGAAAGACCCCGUGAACCUUUACUAUAGCUUGACACUGAACAUUGAGCCUUGAUGUGUAGGAUAGGUGGGAGGCUUUGAAGCGUGGACGCCAGUCUGCGUGGAGCCAACCUUGAAAUACCACCCUUUAAUGUUUGAUGUUCUAACGUUGGCCCCUGACCGGGGUUGCGGACAGUGUCUGGUGGGUAGUUUGACUGGGGCGGUCUCCUCCCAAAGCGUAACGGAGGAGCACGAAGGUUAGCUAAUCCUGGUCGGACAUCAGGAGGUUAGUGCAAUGGCAUAAGCUAGCUUGACUGCGAGCGUGACGGCGCGAGCAGGUGCGAAAGCAGGUCAUAGUGAUCCGGUGGUUCUGAAUGGAAGGGCCAUCGCUCAACGGAUAAAAGGUACUCCGGGGAUAACAGGCUGAUACCGCCCAAGAGUUCAUAUCGACGGCGGUGUUUGGCACCUCGAUGUCGGCUCAUCACAUCCUGGGGCUGAAGUAGGUCCCAAGGGUAUGGCUGUUCGCCAUUUAAAGUGGUACGCGAGCUGGGUUUAGAACGUCGUGAGACAGUUCGGUCCCUAUCUGCCGUGGGCGCUGGAGAAUUGAGGGGGGCUGCUCCUAGUACGAGAGGACCGGAGUGGACGCAUCACUGGUGUUCGGGUUGUCAUGCCAAUGGCACUGCCCGGUAGCUAAAUGCGGAAGAGAUAAGUGCUGAAAGCAUCUAAGCACGAAACUUGCCCCGAGAUGAGUUCUCCCUGAGACUUUAAGUCUCCUGAAGGAACGUUAAAGACGAUGACGUUGAUAGGCCGGGUGUGUAAGCGCAGCGAUGCGUUGAGCUAACCGGUACUAAUGAACCGUGAGGCUUAACCUU